This 1445-nucleotide ribosomal RNA is filed under the name uncultured organism. RNAcentral's name for it is "SSU rRNA". It matches the Rfam family "Bacterial small subunit ribosomal RNA". The record is from RNAcentral.
CUAUCUACAGGCUUAACACAUGCAAGUCGAGGGGCAUCAGGAAGAAAGCUUGCUUUCUUUGCUGGCGACCGGCGCACGGGUGAGUAACACGUAUCCAACCUGCCCUUUACUCGGGGAUAGCCUUUCGAAAGAAAGAUUAAUACCCGAUAGCAUAAUGAUUCCGCAUGGUUUCAUUAUUAAAGGAUUCCGGUAAAGGAUGGGGAUGCGUUCCAUUAGGUUGUUGGUGAGGUAACGGCCCACCAAGCCUUCGAUGGAUAGGGGUUCUGAGAGGAAGGUCCCCCACAUUGGAACUGAGACACGGUCCAAACUCCUACGGGAGGCAGCAGUGAGGAAUAUUGGUCAAUGGGCGCUAGCCUGAACCAGCCAAGUAGCGUGAAGGAUGAAGGCUCUAUGGGUCGUAAACUUCUUUUAUAUAAGAAUAAAGUGCAGUAUGUAUACUGUUUUGUAUGUAUUAUAUGAAUAAGGAUCGGCUAACUCCGUGCCAGCAGCCGCGGUAAUACGGAGGAUCCGAGCGUUAUCCGGAUUUAUUGGGUUUAAAGGGAGCGUAGGUGGACUGGUAAGUCAGUUGUGAAAGUUUGCGGCUCAACCGUAAAAUCGCAGUUGAUACUGUCAGUCUUGAGUACAGUAGAGGUGGGCGGAAUUCGUGGUGUAGUGGUGAAAUGCUUAGAUAUCACGAAGAACUCCGAUUGCGAAGGCAGCUCACUGGACUGCAACUGACACUGAUGCUCGAAAGUGUGGGUAUCAAACAGGAUUAGAUACCCUGGUAGUCCACACAGUAAACGAUGAAUACUCGCUGUUUGCGAUAUACAGUAAGCGGCCAAGCGAAAGCAUUAAGUAUUCCACCUGGGGAGUACGCCGGCAACGGUGAAACUCAAAGGAAUUGACGGGGGCCCGCACAAGCGGAGGAACAUGUGGUUUAAUUCGAUGAUACGCGAGGAACCUUACCCGGGCUUAAAUUGCAGUGGAAUGAUGUGGAAACAUGUCAGUGAGCAAUCACCGCUGUGAAGGUGCUGCAUGGUUGUCGUCAGCUCGUGCCGUGAGGUGUCGGCUUAAGUGCCAUAACGAGCGCAACCCUUAUCUUUAGUUACUAACAGGUUAUGCUGAGGACUCUAGAGAGACUGCCGUCGUAAGAUGUGAGGAAGGUGGGGAUGACGUCAAAUCAGCACGGCCCUUACGUCCGGGGCUACACACGUGUUACAAUGGGGGGUACAGAAGGCAGCUAGCGGGUGACCGUAUGCUAAUCCCAAAAUCCUCUCUCAGUUCGGAUCGGAGUCUGCAACCCGACUUCGUGAAGCUGGAUUCGCUAGUAAUCGCGCAUCAGCCACGGCGCGGUGAAUACGUUCCCGGGCCUUGUACACACCGCCCGUCAAGCCAUGGGAGCCGGGGGUACCUGAAGUACGUAACCGCAAGGAUCGUCCUAGGGUAAAACUGGUGACUGGGGCUAA